GAUGAACGCUAGCGGCAGGCCUAAUACAUGCAAGUCAAGGGGCCAGCAAUGGCACCGGCGCACGGGUGCGUAACACGUACACAACAUACCUUUAAGUGGGAGAUAGCAUCGGGAAACUGGUGGUAAUACCCCAUAAUAUUGCGAUGCGGCAUCACAUUGCAAUUAAAGUUUCGACGCUUAAAGAUUGGUGUGCGUCCGAUUAGCUAGUUGGCGGGGUAACGCCCACCAAGGCUACGAUCGGUAGGGGGUGUGAGAGCAUGACCCCCCACAUGGGUACGUGAGACACGGACCCAACUCCUA
This 300-nucleotide ribosomal RNA is filed under the name uncultured bacterium. Its description in RNAcentral is "bacterial SSU rRNA". It matches the Rfam family "Bacterial small subunit ribosomal RNA", at positions 28 to 341 of the family's 1533-position model. The record is from RNAcentral.